This 761-nucleotide long non-coding RNA is filed under the name Amphimedon queenslandica. RNAcentral's name for it is "uncharacterized LOC109590580, transcript variant X3". Lineage: Eukaryota; Metazoa; Porifera; Demospongiae; Haplosclerida; Niphatidae. The record is from RNAcentral.
AGACUGAGGUAAAAUCAAACAAGUGAAUCAGAAUGAUAUUCAAUUGCAAUUAGCCACGCCUAGAGGUACAAUGGAGGACUGAAAAGGUCUAAAUGAGUGUUUUGUUCAUUUCUGUCACUUAAGCGACAGAGUGCCAAAAAAGCGAAAUGGAAAUCAUGCAUGAUGCUCUCAUUAGCUCUUGUUGUUCACAGAGACUCGUGGCAGGAAUGACACACGAGUGAUAUGCAUUGUGUUGGAUUUGGUGACUGUUACGUUGGAGUGUGGCGUGAAGAGACUUGGGGACAUUAAAUCACUGAGAGUUCUCAUGCAAGACAGACUCUGCCAUCACUUACUUACUGUAAAUGAGCAACUUUACGAAAACGAAUCUGUUGAUGUUUUUGGUCGCUCUUUGACAAAGUGCUUUCUUCUUUUUGAUUCAAAUUGUCAUCAUCUCAAACUACAGCUGGAGUGGUUCCUUAAUAAGCUAAUGCACACAAUACAAUUAGAUCAGUCAAGACUUUAAGCAGGCAGACAAGAGCUAACAUUAGAAUGUCUCAAUUCAAUUUUGUCACAUUCAUAAUUUUGUAUCAGAGUUAUAUGUUAAUUAUGAUUGCAGUACCUACUGUACUAACGUGUGCGAGAGACUGAGCAAACUACUUGCUAAGUACGGGGUAUUUUGCUAAAUAUUAUUACAGCAAGCAUUCCCCAGCUCUUAUCACACGAUAUCAUCAACCAACAUAAUUAGCAAUGGAAACACUACUGGCAAUGAUACUGGCAUUAGA